Non-coding RNA from Phrynosoma platyrhinos (Desert horned lizard), 73 nucleotides. NCBI's taxonomy places the organism in Eukaryota, Metazoa, Chordata, Lepidosauria, Squamata, Phrynosomatidae. The record is from the annotation of a GenBank genome assembly.
GCCAGUAUGGUGUAGUGGUUUGAAUGUUGAAUUAGGACAUUGGGAGACCAGGGUUCGAAUCCCAGCUCGGCCA